Leopardus geoffroyi (Geoffroy's cat) is the source of this 458-nucleotide long non-coding RNA. RefSeq lists it as uncharacterized. NCBI's taxonomy places the organism in Eukaryota, Metazoa, Chordata, Mammalia, Carnivora, Felidae. The record is from RefSeq and is a predicted model, not a curated record. The transcript is spliced from 3 exons.
GGAGGUCACUGUAUUUGUACAAACAAGGAGAUCACUGGGGAAUGGUUUCCAGAGCUGGGACGCCCCGGCAGCAGUAAGGGCUUGAGAUGAAUAUUCAGAGGGGGGUUUUAACAUUCGAAUGAAGCUGAGGUCACUGUCAGGGAAUUUCUGAUUCAUCGGGCAGGCGUGGUCCUCGAACGUUUCUUCGUUUCUAAAAGAUGAUAAGCAGAAGCUUCUAGGGGUUUUCUGAGUUUAGGAGGUCAGGGCAUCAAUCCUGAGCUCAGGGGGUCAAGGAGUCACCGGUGACAUGGCCUGGAUAGGGGACCUAAGAAACUCAGGCCCAGAAGAAUUUCAGCUGUGCACCGCCCACUUACCUGCUCCAACUGCCCGGGGUUGGUGGGAGGUGAAGGUGUAAGGCCUGACACCCGGCCCUGACAGAGAGAGAAAGAGCACGAACGGGGGAGGAGCAGAGAGAGAGG